UACAGAGGGUGCGAGCGUUAAUCGGAAUCAUUGGGCGUAAAGGGUGCGUAGGUGGUUAAUUAAGUCAGAUGUGAAAUCCCUAGGCUCAACCUAGGAAUUGCGUUUGAAACUGAUUGGCUAGAGUAUAGUAGAGGGAAGUGGAAUUUCCGGUGUAGCGGUGAAAUGCGUAGAUAUCGGAAGGAACACCAGUGGCGAAGGCGACUUCCUGGACUGUUACUGACACUGAGGCACGAAAGCGUGGGGAGCGAACAGG
RNAcentral lists this ribosomal RNA (253 nucleotides) under uncultured prokaryote. RNAcentral describes it as "partial 16S ribosomal RNA". It matches the Rfam family "Bacterial small subunit ribosomal RNA", at positions 524 to 776 of the family's 1533-position model. The record is from RNAcentral.